CCUACGGGUGGCUGCAGUGAGGAAUAUUGGUCAAUGGGCGCUAGUCUGAACCAGCCAAGUAGCGUGAAGGAUGACUGCCCUAUGGGUUGUAAACUUCUUUUAUAUGGGAAUAAAGUGCAGUAUGUAUACUGCUUUGCAUGUACCUUAUGAAUAAGGAUCGGCUAACUCCGUGCCAGCAGCCGCGGUAAUACGGAGGAUCCGAGCGUUAUCCGGAUUUAGUGGGUUUAAAGGGAGCGUAGGUGGAUUGUUAAGUCAGUUGUGAAAGUUUGCGGCUCAACCGUAAAAUUGCAGUUGAAACUGGCAGUCUUGAGUACAGUAGAGGUGGGCGGAAUUCGUGGUGUAGCGGUGAAAUGCUUAGAUAUCACGAAGAACUCCGAUUGCGAAGGCAGUUCACUGGACUGCAACUGACACUGAGGCUCGAAAGUGUGGGUAUCAAACAGGAUUAGAUACCCCUGUAGUC
This 460-nucleotide ribosomal RNA is filed under the name uncultured bacterium. RNAcentral's name for it is "partial 16S ribosomal RNA". It matches the Rfam family "Bacterial small subunit ribosomal RNA", at positions 338 to 795 of the family's 1533-position model. The record is from RNAcentral.